RNAcentral lists this small RNA (780 nucleotides) under Rattus norvegicus (Norway rat). RNAcentral describes it as "uncharacterized LOC108352419". The record is from RNAcentral. Lineage: Eukaryota; Metazoa; Chordata; Mammalia; Rodentia; Muridae.
UAUAGUGUGACUCCGCCUCCUGUUUGCCCUCUCUGCUUCUGGGCUGCAGGUGAAAUGUGAUCCGUCAGCUUCCAGUUCCAGCUGCUGCAAGGCCCUCCCCUGCCAUGGUGGACUCUCUUCCUCUGGGACUGUACACCAAAACAAACACUUUUGUUUAUCACCGCAACUGUAAGAUACUAAUACACGGGGCCGAAUGUAUCUUUAGAUUUUUGAGGAACCUCCACACUGAUCUCCAUAGUGGGUAUACUCAUUUGCCCAUCCACUAACACCCCAAAAUGACAGAAAACCGACUGCUGGAAGCUAUGGGACAGACAAGCCUUACCUCCUUGGAAGUUGUUGAACUCAGUUAUUUUGUCAUGAUGCUGAAAGAUGAACAUGGGUACCUUGUAGAAUCUCAGUAGUAGCUUCUGGAUGAAUUUCUCCAUCUACCAACCAUAAGAUUCUGUCUGUCUUGUGCAUGUGAGUUUGUGUGCUUGAACAAGCCAGAAGAGUGUCAAAAGGCCCGGAGCUGAAGGGACAAGUGGUUGUGACCAGCCCAUGGUGGGUAAUCGGGAGCCAAAUCCAGUUCCUGUGGGAAAGCAGUCUGCACACCAAACCUCUGGGCCAUGCUGCCAGUGCCUGCAUGCAAAUGUAUCCCGGAGUGAGAAGCUUGGACUUCAUCUAGAUACCCAGCAGAGAACCCUAGUGGCUUCAUUAGACAGCCAGGAAGGUAAUUGUGGUUUUGUGUUGUUGAAAUUUGCCAUUCACUUCUGGAAUGCACUAUUAAAAAUCAUGAUUAUG